This 302-nucleotide ribosomal RNA is filed under the name uncultured bacterium. RNAcentral describes it as "partial 16S ribosomal RNA". It matches the Rfam family "Bacterial small subunit ribosomal RNA", at positions 508 to 809 of the family's 1533-position model. The record is from RNAcentral.
GCAGUCGCCACGGUAAUACGGAGGGUGCAAGCGUUAUCCGGAUUUAUUGGGUUUAAAGGGUCCGUAGGCGGAUCUGUAAGUCAGUGGUGAAAUCUCACAGCUUAACUGUGAAACUGCCAUUGAUACUGCAGGUCUUGAGUAAAUUUGAAGUGGCUGGAAUAAGUAGUGUAGCGGUGAAAUGCAUAGAUAUUACUUAGAACACCAAUUGCGAAGGCAGGUCACUAAGAUUUAACUGACGCUGAUGGACGAAAGCGUGGGGAGCAAACAGGAUUAGAUACCCGCGUAGUCCCUGUCUCUUAUAA